CCAUUCGAAUUGCUUCACAUGGACCUCUUUGGUCCUAAUCAUUGCUCAACUGUCACAAAUGAUGCAUCUCUCUAUGGCUUUGUUAUUGUUGAUGAUUACUCUCGAUACACAUGGGUACACAUUGUUACUUACAAACAUGAAGUGCAGGAAGUCUUCAAACGAUUUUCCUCGAGGGCUUCAACCAAGUUUGGUGUGAAGAUCAAGCACAUCAGAAGUGACAAUGGAACUGAGUUCAAGAAUUCUGGUCUUGAUGACUAUCUUGAUGAACUUGGUAUUACUCAUGAGUUAUCUGCUCCUUACACUCCUCAGCAGAAUGGCGUCGUGGAG
RNAcentral lists this ribosomal RNA (327 nucleotides) under Triticum aestivum (bread wheat). RNAcentral's name for it is "partial small subunit ribosomal RNA". Lineage: Eukaryota; Viridiplantae; Streptophyta; Magnoliopsida; Poales; Poaceae. The record is from RNAcentral.